GCCUGGGUGGCUCAGUCGGUUAAGCAUCUGCCUUCAGCUCAGGUCAUGGGAUCAAGCCCCAUGUCAGGCU
This is a non-coding RNA of Ailuropoda melanoleuca (giant panda), 70 nucleotides long. Lineage: Eukaryota; Metazoa; Chordata; Mammalia; Carnivora; Ursidae. The record is from Rfam.